RNAcentral lists this ribosomal RNA (1441 nucleotides) under uncultured Microbacteriaceae bacterium. RNAcentral's name for it is "16S ribosomal RNA". It matches the Rfam family "Bacterial small subunit ribosomal RNA". The record is from RNAcentral. Lineage: Bacteria; Bacillati; Actinomycetota; Actinomycetes; Micrococcales; Microbacteriaceae.
GAUGAACGCUGGCGGCGUGCUUAACACAUGCAAGUCGAACGAUGAAGCUGGAGCUUGCUCCGGCGGAUUAGUGGCGAACGGGUGAGUAACACGUGAGCAAUCUGCCCUUGACUCUGGGAUAACUGCGGGAAACUGUAGCUAAUACCGGAUACGACGCCUUGGGGCAUCCCACGGGCGUGGAAAGAAUUUCGGUCAAGGAUGAGCUCGCGGCCUAUCAGCUAGUUGGUGAGGUAAUGGCUCACCAAGGCGACGACGGGUAGCCGGCCUGAGAGGGUGACCGGCCACACUGGGACUGAGACACGGCCCAGACUCCUACGGGAGGCAGCAGUGGGGAAUAUUGCGCAAUGGGCGAAAGCCUGACGCAGCAACGCCGCGUGAGGGAUGAAGGCCUUCGGGUUGUAAACCUCUUUUAGCAGGGAAGAAGCGAAAGUGACGGUACCUGCAGAAAAAGCACCGGCUAACUACGUGCCAGCAGCCGCGGUAAUACGUAGGGUGCAAGCGUUAUCCGGAAUUAUUGGGCGUAAAGAGCUCGUAGGCGGUUUGUCGCGUCUGCUGUGAAAAUCUGAGGCUCAACCUCGGACUUGCAGUGGGUACGGGCAGACUAGAGUGCGGUAGGAGAGAAGGGAAUUCCUGGUGUAGCGGUGGAAUGCGCAGAUAUCAGAGGAACACCAAUGGCGAAAGCACUUCUCUGGGCCGUAACUGACGCUGAGGAGCGAAAGCGUGGGGAGCGAACAGGAUUAGAUACCCUGGUAGUCCACGCCGUAAACGUUGGGCGCUAGAUGUGGGUCACAUUCCACGUGAUCCGUGUCGCAGCUAACGCAUUAAGCGCCCCGCCUGGGGAGUACGGCCGCAAGGCUAAAACUCAAAGGAAUUGACGGGGGCCCGCACAAGCGGCGGAGCAUGCGGAUUAAUUCGAUGCAACGCGAAGAACCUUACCAAGACUUGACAUAUUCAGGAAAACUGCAGAAAUGUAGUCCCCCGCAAGGGUCUGUUUACAGGUGGUGCAUGGUUGUCGUCAGCUCGUGUCGUGAGAUGUUGGGUUAAGUCCCGCAACGAGCGCAACCCUCGUCCUAUGUUGCCAGCACGUUAUGGUGGGAACUCAUGGGAGACUGCCGGGGUCAACUCGGAGGAAGGUGGGGAUGACGUCAAAUCAUCAUGCCCCUUAUGUCUUGGGCUUCACGCAUGCUACAAUGGCCGGUACAAAGGGCUGCAAUACCGUAAGGUGGAGCGAAUCCCAAAAAGCCGGUCUCAGUUCGGAUUGAGGUCUGCAACUCGACCUCAUGAAGUCGGAGUCGCUAGUAAUCGCAGAUCAGCAACGCUGCGGUGAAUACGUUCCCGGGCCUUGUACACACCGCCCGUCAAGUCACGAAAGUCGGUAACACCCGAAGCCGGUGGCCUAACCGUAAGGAAGGAGCCGUCUAAGGUGGGAUUGGUGAUUGGG